UGGAAACUGGGGAACUUGAGUGCCCCUGAGGAGAGUGGAAUUCCACGUGUAGCGGUGAAAUGCGUAGAGAUGUGGAGGAACACCAAUGGCGAAGGCGACUCUCUGGUCUGUGACUGACGCUGAGGCGCGAAAGCGUGGGGAGCGAACAGGAUUACAUACCCUGGUAGUCCACUCCGUAAACCAUGAAUGCUAAGUGUUAAAGGGUUUCCCCCCUUUACUGCUGCACCGAACGCAUUAAGCACUCCGCCUGGGGAGUACGGGCGCAAGACUGAAACUCAAAUGAAUUGACGGGGGCCC
This 297-nucleotide ribosomal RNA is filed under the name Bacillus licheniformis. Its description in RNAcentral is "partial 16S ribosomal RNA". It matches the Rfam family "Bacterial small subunit ribosomal RNA", at positions 627 to 922 of the family's 1533-position model. The record is from RNAcentral. Lineage: Bacteria; Bacillati; Bacillota; Bacilli; Caryophanales; Bacillaceae.